RNAcentral lists this transfer RNA (72 nucleotides) under Sulfobacillus thermosulfidooxidans DSM 9293. Its description in RNAcentral is "Sulfobacillus thermosulfidooxidans (strain DSM 9293 / VKM B-1269 / AT-1) tRNA". It matches the Rfam family "tRNA". From Rfam's summary of the family: Transfer RNA (tRNA) molecules are approximately 80 nucleotides in length. Their secondary structure includes four short double-helical elements and three loops (D, anti-codon, and T loops). Further hydrogen bonds mediate the characteristic L-shaped molecular structure. tRNAs have two regions of fundamental functional importance: the anti-codon, which is responsible for specific mRNA codon recognition, and the 3' end, to which the tRNAs corresponding amino acid is attached (by aminoacyl-tRNA synthetases). tRNAs cope with the degeneracy of the genetic code in two manners: having more than one tRNA (with a specific anti-codon) for a particular amino acid; and 'wobble' base-pairing, i.e. permitting non-standard base-pairing at the 3rd anti-codon position. Lineage: Bacteria; Bacillati; Bacillota; Clostridia; Eubacteriales; Clostridiales Family XVII. Incertae Sedis. RNAcentral also lists the same sequence under 1 other name. The record is from Rfam by way of RNAcentral.
GGGCGCGUAGCUCAGUGGUAGAGCGCUUGCUUCACACGCAAGAGGUCACAGGUUCGAUACCUGUCGUGCCCA